AUACGGAGGAUGCGAGCGUUAUCCGGAUUUAUUGGGUUUAAAGGGUGCGUAGGCUGUGCGUUAAGUCAGGGGUGAAAUGCCGUCGCUCAACGACGGAGCUGCCCUUGAUACUGGCGUGCUGGAGUACGGAUGCCGUUGGAGGAAUGAGUGGUGUAGCGGUGAAAUGCUUGGAUAUCACUCAGAACGCCGAUUGCGAAGGCAUCUGGCGAAUCCGUCACUGACGCUGAGGCACGAAAGCGGGGGGAUAGAACAGGAUUAGAUACCCUGGUAUUCCACGCCGUAAACGAUGAUGACUAACCGUCGGCGAUAGACAGCCGGUGGCCAAGCGAAAGCGAUAAGUCAUCCACCUGGGGAGUACGUCGGCAACGAUGAAACUCAAAUGAAUUGGCGGGG
This 393-nucleotide ribosomal RNA is filed under the name uncultured bacterium. RNAcentral's name for it is "partial 16S ribosomal RNA". It matches the Rfam family "Bacterial small subunit ribosomal RNA", at positions 523 to 918 of the family's 1533-position model. The record is from RNAcentral.